UUGUGGAGGGUGGUUCCUGGGACAACGCCCAUGCCGUGAUCAGGAACGGGGUCAGCAGGAGUCAGGUGGGGAAGUGCCAGGUGUCCACUGCCACGACCAACACGUUACUCACACUCACGGCACAAGAAUGGCCUCUGUACCCUGUGUGUAGGCAUAUCCAGGCACAGUCGCUUGUAUGUCUGAGACCUCAAGCUGGAGAGUGCUGAUGGCCAACAUGCUGGUCACCUCUCCACAGUCCUUCCUCCUCCUGGACAACACCCCUGCUCUCUCUGGAUGGUCCUGAGCUAAGCCCGGAAGAGUCAAGGCUAUAAAGAGGGACUGAGAACACCGUGACGCCCUGGCCUGCGCACCCUCCUCUGCUCCAUCUGGGUCUGUCCGGAUGGCAGAGGCUCAGAGGGUCUGCCCCUACCAGAUGGUGGAGGCUCAGAAUGUCUGAGCCAGAAAAAGCAUGAAAGAAAACUUAGCCUUCCUCCUCCCAGUUAACAGAUGGAUUGUGAUCAAACAACUGGGCAGCUUCACCUGGCCGAUGGGACACCUACAGUUAAGCAUCACGGACACCCUCACCCCCCCGCCCCCACAAUCUAACGGGGAUCCCUGUGGCAGAUGCUGUUAGUUCCUUCCCAUAAAGCCCGGAACUUGCAGCGCGCUGUGCAGAUUUCCACCUUCAUCUCUGUGCCUGAGGCUAUUUCUCCAGAGUCCCGGAAGGCUGUUCUGGUGGGCUAGAAAUGCCAAAGACGCAUUACCCUGUGGGAGCGGCCCUCAACCAGUGACUCUUGGUAGCUGGUGGGAAAAUAUCCCAGGCCCCUCGCCCCGCAGCGGGAUGACUCUGAGCUGUGUGCUCUACACUAACUUGCCCCAGGAGGAUUGAGCCCCGGCUGCACGCUGCAUUGCUUGCUCGGUAACACCCUGUGCUGGCUGCUUUCCCUCUCCUGUCUCAUUUCCCCACCCCUUACCAGUACUGCCUGGAUCCCCUUCCAGACAAACGACUUGCCCUUGGCUCCAUGCUCAAAGUCGUCGUCUAGGGAGCUCAAGCUUGGAUGCUCCUUCGUUUUCGCUAAUCACUCUCUGUAUGUCCCCUGGUCUUCUUACAAUGGUAGCCCUUGUCAAAGCUCUAAUCAUCUUGUUUUUAUGUCUGCUUUCUUUCUGCUCACUGGAAGGCUGGGUCCUGAGGGCACAGUGUCCAGCACGGAGGACACACAGUAAAUAUUCCCAGAAGGAGUGAUGGGUGAACGAAUAAAUAGAAUCUCACCCUGCCACCAUGAUUAAAUUCAGCCCCAAACUUACCUGUCCCAUUGUUUCCAUAUCCUGCCACCUCUGAGGCCUAAUCUGAAGAACUGAUUUGUGCCAGUGGACGAGCACUAUUUCUCUAGGUGAGACAUGCAGGUGUCAACAGGAAAUGUCCUGAGAUGUAAUUCUUCAACCCAGGAAGCCACUCCAAUCAAGAGAACAUAAAGCAAUGGUGAUGGGAUGUGGGGGUUCCAUGGGGCUUGGAUGCCCUGAGGAGGGCCUCAAAUCACAGAAUGAUGAAGGUCUUCUGGAUGCAGUGGCAGGGCAGGAGAGGUAUUGCCCUGGGACUCGAGAUGGGACCACAGCCAAUUGCUCACUCAGCCAUGGCCUGUGGGUCUGACACUGGGACCUCACUAACCCUCUUUUAACACUCCUAUCUGUAAGUAGGGAUCAUGACCCACACUUUGCAGGGGUUCUGAUGCUGCAAAAUUCUGGCGCUUUCUACAUGAUAAGGUCUUUGCUCACCAAAUGGAAGAGACUGCGUGCAGGUAGCAUGGGCCUGCCUACUGCAGGUGGGGUGCUUUGGGCUGCAAGUAACAGAAAAUCCAACUCAAAGUGAAUUGUGUGAUAAAGACAAUGCACCACCUCGCUUAUCAUGGUCUGAGUUCCUCCAUGAGGGUUGCCGCCUGGUGCGUCCUCUGUAAGCUCCCUGAAGCAGGGGCCUAGGCUGACCUUUUUUCUCCACUGCCCCCGAGAGCAUAGACCAGGGCCUGGCACAGAGAAGGCGUCCAGUGAGGAUUCCACCCAGGACACCAUCAAACCCUCAUCGCUACAUGGUCUAUUAAGUUGUGUUCCCCCAACAGCAGUUAAAGAAACCAAAGCUUGGCCAGGCACGGUGGCUCACGCCUGUAAUCCCAGCACUUUGGGAG
RNAcentral lists this long non-coding RNA (2156 nucleotides) under Homo sapiens (human). RNAcentral's name for it is "HSALNT0401446". Lineage: Eukaryota; Metazoa; Chordata; Mammalia; Primates; Hominidae. The record is from RNAcentral.